This 313-nucleotide long non-coding RNA is filed under the name Capsicum annuum. RNAcentral's name for it is "long non-coding RNA (CANN_LNC001080)". Lineage: Eukaryota; Viridiplantae; Streptophyta; Magnoliopsida; Solanales; Solanaceae. The record is from RNAcentral.
CCAAAUAAAAACUGUGCACUAUCCUCAAUGUGCUAAAAUAAUAUAAAACAAAGAGAAGUUAGAACAUACCUAGAGUGCACUAAGCAUCCGUGUGGCUUGGGUUUCAUCCCAAGAAGGGAUUGAUUUACCGUAGCAGCAAGACUCAGCUACCUUGGCUACUCAAACUUUGCCAAGGUCCAUUUUAACAAAGACUCUAACUUUCUCUAGGUUUUACAUGUAGUUCUUAACCUGUUUGUUGUUUACCUUAAACGGUAUGUCACCAUCACGCUUUAUCUCAUUGGCACCAUAUGGUAAUACCUUAACCACAGUAAAU